Molecule: long non-coding RNA, 813 nt
Organism: Dermochelys coriacea (leatherback sea turtle)
Lineage: Eukaryota; Metazoa; Chordata; Testudines; Dermochelyidae
Exons: 3
Source: RefSeq, a predicted model, not a curated record
AGUGGGGUGAGCCCGGAUUGUCUUGUGGCCUGCAGGAUUAUUUUUUGUUUUGUUUUGGACUGCUGUUAUGAUCAGAAGAGAGGGAGCUGUGUUUCUAGGACUUACUGCGGGAUGAACACAUCCUGGACUCCAAACUGGCACUACAGUGAUGUCUACAUACAAGGAAGGAUGUCUGGGAUGAGAGAGGUUCCUAGGGUUCCAGGUAACACCUUUCCCAGAAUGACAUUAUCAUGUAAAUGAAGUCAUCUUCUGGACUAAGUACAACAGUAUCAGACUCACUGAGGGAAGGAAGGGCACCUCAGAGAUCAUUUAGUGUCAGUGAAAGCCUUCAGAAUUUGAGGUCAAAUCAACAGAGGAUCAGAGAUGCAUGGAGGUGCAUAAGGAAGAGCACAAGAAGUCUGAGGAGAAGUGAAGGAAGGAGGACAAGGAGAUGGAGGAGAAGCUGCAAGCUAGUAUCUCACGCAUGAUCAUAAGAUGAAGGAGUGAGACAUGGCAUUUCAGACGACAUUAUUUGGGGUCAUGAGCCAUGAGGGCAAAUCCAUAGUGUACAUAAGCAUCAUGACUCUACUUCAAUGUUGCCAUGUACUACAACCUAUGAACCCAAUGCCUGAAGGAACCAAUCAAUGAGCCAUGGACCAUCAUCAGAUCUGUGCACUCUACACUUGUUCCAAUUCAGGGGAAAGAGAACAGAUAAACUAAUGUUUAGUUUUCUUAUUAGUGACAAGUUUUUGUUAUGUCUUAUGUUUGCAUGUUUGAACCACAUUAGGGCAGCGAGUUUGCUCACAUUUUUAGCAUGAAUCAAUUUCAAUAAAG